Molecule: long non-coding RNA, 709 nt
Organism: Esox lucius (northern pike)
Lineage: Eukaryota; Metazoa; Chordata; Actinopteri; Esociformes; Esocidae
Exons: 4
Source: RefSeq, a predicted model, not a curated record
GUACCAUUACAACAACAGACAAGGUACACAAGGUUCACACAAGCCUAAAUGUUUUGAGAGCUGGCUUCCCUGUCUCCAUAGACAGGCCCUAUGUUGGUGUCAGUUGUGACUCAGAUGUGUCCUGUGAGUGCUGUGGGAGAGGAAUAGUGGAGGCAAAGUGUCCCUUGAAGUGGGUUGAUGUUUCUGUAGAUCGUUGGCCCACAGACAAGACUGGCCAUCUGGACACUUUUUUGACAUUGAGGAAGAACCACAGCUAUUAUACACAGAAUCAGCUGCAGCUGCAUGUUUGCAGAACACAGUAUGCAGACUUCAUAACCCGGACCCCAAAGCAUACUGUAAUUUUCAGAGUCUGUUGUGAUGAAAACUUCAUCAAUGAGGCUGUGGACGCUAUAACUGGGUCAGGCACAUCCACCCUCAGCUGGUGGGUGCCUCAGCUCAGGUUCCAGAAUCAGAGCUACAGGAGAAUGAGUUGGAGCCAUGAGACAGUGCUAGGUGGAAAACAGUGCAGUAAGGGACUUCACAAACAGAAUAGGAAGUGGCCCAUCCAGGAUGUGGAAUCUGAGCUUCAGGACACCAAUCACAUGUUCUGUAAAACACCAAUACAUCUUUUGAAAAUAUUGUUCAGCAUAAAAAUGCAGAUAAUUGUACCCCUGUUCUCAGUAUUUGUUAAAUCAGUAUUUUUUAAAUCACUGUUAUACAAAUGCCUAAA